UAUUAUAUAAUUUUUUUUUUAUUUAAUAAUUAUAUUUUAUUUUAAAAAAUUAAAUAAUUUGGUAGUAUUUUUUAAAAUUAGAGGAUUUUGUUUAUUAAUUGAUAAUACACAUUAUAAUAUACUUAAAUUAUUAUUAAAUUAUAUAUUGUUGUUUAAUUAAUAUUUUUAAAAAUAAUUAAUAAAUUUUAUAAAAAAAAAUAAUUCAAAUCAUAAUAUAUUUUAAAUUUAAGUUUAAAAUGAAAUACAUUAAAUUUAUUUAAUUGAAUUUUAAAUUUUAAUAUUUAAAUGAAAAUGGAUUUAAAAUUAAAUUUUUAUAAAUAUAAAUAUUUAAUAUUUUAAAAAAUAUAUACAUAUUGCCCGUCGCUUUUAAAUAAUUUUAAAAUAA
RNAcentral lists this ribosomal RNA (385 nucleotides) under Asphondylia pruniperda. RNAcentral's name for it is "partial 12S ribosomal RNA". Lineage: Eukaryota; Metazoa; Arthropoda; Insecta; Diptera; Cecidomyiidae. The record is from RNAcentral.